This 239-nucleotide long non-coding RNA is filed under the name Homo sapiens (human). Its description in RNAcentral is "non-protein coding lnc-RPLP1-12:44". Lineage: Eukaryota; Metazoa; Chordata; Mammalia; Primates; Hominidae. The record is from RNAcentral.
UGAGAACACUUCACCUCAUUACCUGGAUGUGGAGUGUUGAAGCUGGAAGGGAUCCCAGAGAUCUGGAAACUCCCCAGGAGUUUGGAUGCUUCAUCUCUGCUGAGACCCAGUGCCUGGCACUGAAGGUGCUCAGGAAAUACCUUCUGAAUGAUCGGAAGCCCCUGCCAUCUGCUAAACUGGAUCUAUGAUGACAGAAGCCGAGGAAUGUGAGGUUCAUCUAGAGAGUUCUUGUGAAUUUU